Molecule: ribosomal RNA, 811 nt
Filed under: uncultured archaeon
Lineage: Archaea
Description: bacterial SSU rRNA
Rfam family: Archaeal small subunit ribosomal RNA
Source: RNAcentral
UACGGCUCAGUAACACGUGGCUAAUCUGCCCUUAGGACGAGAACAACCCCGGGAAACUGGGGCUAACUCUCGAUAGGCGAAGAACUCUGGAAUGAGUCUUCACCUAAAUAGUUCGGCGUUAUGCUCGUUGGACCGCCUAAGGAUGAGGCCGCGACCGAUCAGGUUGUUGGUGAGGUAAUGGCUCACCAAGCCUUUUACCGGUGCGGGCCGUGAGAGCGGGAGCCCGGAGAUGGGCACUGAGACAAGGGCCCAGGCCCUACGGGGCGCAGCAGUCGCGAAAACUUUGCAAUACACGAAGGUGUGACAGGGCUAUCCCGAGUGCCAUCCGCUGAGGAAGGCUUUUACCCAGUCUAGAAAGCUGGGGGAAUAAGGAGAGGGCAAGUCUGGUGUCAGCCGCCGCGGUAAUACCAGCUCUCCGAGUGGUGUGGAUGUUUAUUGGGCCUAAAGCAUCCGUAGCUGGCUAAGUUAGUCCCUUGUUAAAUCCACCGAAUUAAUCGUUGGAUCGCGGGGGAUACUGCUUGGCUAGGGGACGAGAGAGGCAGACGGUAUUUUCGGGGUAGGGGUGAAAUCCUAUAAUCCCGGGAAGACCACCAGUGGCGAAGGCUGUCUGCUAGAACGCGCCCGACGGUGAGGGAUGAAAGCUGGGGGAGCGAACCGGAUUAGAUACCCGGGUAGUCCCAGCUGUAAACGAUGCAGGCUAGGUGUUUGGACGGCCACGUGCCGUUCUAGUGCCGCAGGGAAGCUGUUAAGCCUGCCGCCUGGGGAGUACGAUCGCAAGAUUGAAACUUAAAGGAAUUGGCGGGGGAGCACA